CCUACGGGGGGCAGCAGUGGGGAAUAUUGGACAAUGGGGGGAACCCUGAUCCAGCCAUGCCGCGUGUGUGAAGAAGGCCCUCGGGUUGUAAAGCACUUUCAGUGAGGAAGAACGCCUGGUGGUUAAUACCCAUCAGGAAAGACAUCACUCACAGAAGAAGCACCGGCUAACUCCGUGCCAGCAGCCGCGGUAAUACUGAGGGUGCGAGCGUUAAUCGGAAUUACUGGGCGUAAAGCGCGCGUAGGUGGCUUGAUAAGCCGGUUGUGAAAGCCCCGGGCUCAACCUGGGAACGGCAUCCGGAACUGUCAAGCUAGAGUGCAGGAGAGGAAGGUAGAAUUCCCGGUGUAGCGGUGAAAUGCGUAGAGAUCGGGAGGAAUACCAGUGGCGAAGGCGGCCUUCUGGACUGACACUGACACUGAGGUGCGAAAGCGUGGGUAGCAAACAGGAUUAGAUACCCGAGUAGUC
This 465-nucleotide ribosomal RNA is filed under the name Vreelandella stevensii. Its description in RNAcentral is "partial 16S ribosomal RNA". It matches the Rfam family "Bacterial small subunit ribosomal RNA", at positions 338 to 795 of the family's 1533-position model. Lineage: Bacteria; Pseudomonadati; Pseudomonadota; Gammaproteobacteria; Oceanospirillales; Halomonadaceae. The record is from RNAcentral.